UCAAACUCUCUCACUAUCUCAAACGCUCUCAAACACUCAAAAAACCCUAGCUGUCUCGUCUUCUCAGACCAAUCUCACCAGAGUCCAUGGCUUCUCAGGCCAUGGGCAGCUUGUGCUCACCCUCCUUCACUCCUAAUCCAUGUUUGUUCGAGAUUUCAAGGCCCGAACUCGAUGGUGUUCGAGCAGAUCCUCCAUAGAUCUGAGAUUUUAUGGCUUCUCUGACCCCGUUCCGAUGUAUUCGAGCCUUAAGAGCCUAGCUAUGGCUUAAAUUGGCUCAAGACCAAACUCUUUCCAAGACUUCUCAUUUCUAAGAAAUCCUAAAGCUAUUUUAGGUUCCUUUUCCUUUAUUUACUUAGAUUUGUGGUGAAUCUAUGUUGUAUUCAAUGUUUUAAGCUUUUUCCCCAAUUUUCCCUUUCAAAAUUAAUUUGUUUUCGAUUUAGGAUUUCUGAAAAAUCUCAAAAUGAUUUCUGUCUCUUCUUUUCUUCACUUUGUGUGAAUGUCUAUG
This 505-nucleotide long non-coding RNA is filed under the name Nicotiana benthamiana. RNAcentral describes it as "long non-coding RNA (NBEN_LNC027166)". The record is from RNAcentral. Lineage: Eukaryota; Viridiplantae; Streptophyta; Magnoliopsida; Solanales; Solanaceae.